This 205-nucleotide unclassified non-coding RNA is filed under the name soil metagenome. RNAcentral's name for it is "partial contains 5.8S ribosomal RNA, internal transcribed spacer 2, and large subunit ribosomal RNA". The record is from RNAcentral.
AACACUGUUAACCUGCGGUACCUGCGGAAGGAUCAUUACCGAGUUUACAACUCCCAAACCCCUGUGAACAUACCAAUUGUUGCCUCGGCGGAUCAGCCCGCUCCCGGUAAAACGGGACGGCCCGCCAGAGGACCCCUAAACUCUGUUUCUAUAUGUAACUUCUGAGUAAAACCAUAAAUAAAUCAAAACUUUUAACAACGGAUCU